This 114-nucleotide ribosomal RNA is filed under the name Acanthosepion pharaonis. Lineage: Eukaryota; Metazoa; Mollusca; Cephalopoda; Sepiida; Sepiidae. The record is from RNAcentral.
UUACGGCCAUAUCACGUUAAAACACCGAUUUUCGUACAAUCACGAAAGUUAAGCAACGUCGUGUCUAGUCAGUUCCUAGAUGGGUGACCGCUGGCGAAUACUAGGUGUUGUAAG